UACAGAGGGGGCAAGCGUUAUUCGGAAUUAUUGGGCGUAAAGGGCGCGUAGGCGGUCAGCACAAGUCAGUUGUGAAAUCUCCGGGCUUAACCCGGAAAGGUCAACUGAUACUGUGCGACUAGAGUGCGGAAGGGGCAACUGGAAUUCUCGGUGUAGCGGUGAAAUGCGUAGAUAUCGAGAGGAACACCUGCGGCGAAGGCGGGUUGCUGGGCCGACACUGACGCUGAUGCGCGAAAGCCAGGGGAGCGAACGGG
Molecule: ribosomal RNA, 254 nt
Filed under: uncultured bacterium
Lineage: Bacteria
Description: partial 16S ribosomal RNA
Rfam family: Bacterial small subunit ribosomal RNA
Source: RNAcentral